RNAcentral lists this transfer RNA (69 nucleotides) under Gymnorhamphichthys sp. NM-2010. RNAcentral's name for it is "tRNA-His". It matches the Rfam family "tRNA". From Rfam's summary of the family: Transfer RNA (tRNA) molecules are approximately 80 nucleotides in length. Their secondary structure includes four short double-helical elements and three loops (D, anti-codon, and T loops). Further hydrogen bonds mediate the characteristic L-shaped molecular structure. tRNAs have two regions of fundamental functional importance: the anti-codon, which is responsible for specific mRNA codon recognition, and the 3' end, to which the tRNAs corresponding amino acid is attached (by aminoacyl-tRNA synthetases). tRNAs cope with the degeneracy of the genetic code in two manners: having more than one tRNA (with a specific anti-codon) for a particular amino acid; and 'wobble' base-pairing, i.e. permitting non-standard base-pairing at the 3rd anti-codon position. The record is from RNAcentral. Lineage: Eukaryota; Metazoa; Chordata; Actinopteri; Gymnotiformes; Rhamphichthyidae.
GCAGAGGUAGUUUAAGUAAAAUGCUAGAUUGUGAUUCUAAAGACAGAAGUUAAACCCUUCUCCCCUGCC